CNGGGUUGCAUGCCCGCACCCCGNGGUUGGUUCGUUGCACCAAUUCAUGGUGUGCGGCCUCCCUGGUGUCGUGGUUGUGUGANCUUNCUCCCGAANCUGUUUUUCAGGUGCUGGUUAUUUUUAACUGGCAUGCUCUCGGAUGCCUUUAAUUGGGUGUCUGGAGCAGACGGCACGUUUACUUUGAACAAAUUUGAGUGCUCAAAGCAGGCUUGAUGCCUGAAAAGUCUUGCAUGGAAUAAUGGAAUAGGACUUCGGUUCUAUUUNGUUGUUUUCGGAUCCGANCCAAU
Molecule: ribosomal RNA, 287 nt
Filed under: Indodidymozoon suttiei
Lineage: Eukaryota; Metazoa; Platyhelminthes; Trematoda; Azygiida; Didymozoidae
Description: partial small subunit ribosomal RNA
Rfam family: Eukaryotic small subunit ribosomal RNA (bases 98-287)
Source: RNAcentral